Pelobates cultripes (western spadefoot toad) is the source of this 103-nucleotide non-coding RNA. Lineage: Eukaryota; Metazoa; Chordata; Amphibia; Anura; Pelobatidae. The record is from the annotation of a GenBank genome assembly.
GAGUCCCUGCUUCCCCAACAUCUAACUGCUUCUACUCUCCCUUCCAGCCACAAUGGAAGGGAGGGAGAGUAGAAGCAGUUAGAUGUUGGGGAAGCAGGGACUC